CCUACGGGAGGCAGCAGUGAGGGAUAUUGGUCAAUGGGGGAAACCCUGAACCAGCAACGCCGCGUGAGGGAAGACGGUUUUCGGAUUGUAAACCUCUGUCCUCUGUGAAGAUAAUGACGGUAGCAGAGGAGGAAGCUCCGGCUAACUACGUGCCAGCAGCCGCGGUAAUACGUAGGGAGCGAGCGUUAUCCGGAUUUAUUGGGUUUAAAGGGUGCGUAGGCGGGCCUUCAGGCCGGCGGUAAAAUUGCGGGGCUCAACCCCGCCGAGCCGUCGGAACCGGGGGCCUUGAGUACCGGAGAAGUACGCGGAAUGCGUGGUGUAGCGGUGAAAUGCAUAGAUAUCACGCAGAACCCCGAUUGCGAAGGCAGCGUACCGGCCGGUCACUGACGCUGAGGCACGAAAGCGCGGGUAUCGAACAGGAUUAGAUACCCCUGUAGUC
Molecule: ribosomal RNA, 439 nt
Filed under: uncultured bacterium
Lineage: Bacteria
Description: partial 16S ribosomal RNA
Rfam family: Bacterial small subunit ribosomal RNA
Source: RNAcentral